This 392-nucleotide ribosomal RNA is filed under the name uncultured bacterium. Its description in RNAcentral is "bacterial SSU rRNA". It matches the Rfam family "Bacterial small subunit ribosomal RNA", at positions 28 to 421 of the family's 1533-position model. The record is from RNAcentral.
GACGAACGCUGGCGGCGUGCUUAACACAUGCAAGUCGAGCGGUAAGGCCCUUUCGGGGGUACACGAGCGGCGAACGGGUGAGUAACACGUGGGUGACCUGCCCUCAGCUCUGGGAUAAGCCUGGGAAACCGGGUCUAAUACCGGAUAUGACUCCAUGACACAUGUUGUGGGGUGGAAAGCCUUGUGCGGCUGAGGAUGGGCCCGCGGCCUAUCAGCUUGUUGGUGGGGUNAUGGCCUACCAAGGCGACGACGGGUAGCCGGCCUGAGAGGGCGACCGGCCACACUGGGACUGAGACACGGCCCAGACUCCUACGGGAGGCAGCAGUGGGGAAUCUUGCGCAAUGGGCGAAAGCCUGACGCAGCGACGCCGCGUGAGGGAUGACGGCCUGUGU